RNAcentral lists this ribosomal RNA (2111 nucleotides) under Salmonella enterica subsp. enterica serovar Tennessee. RNAcentral describes it as "partial 23S ribosomal RNA". It matches the Rfam family "Bacterial large subunit ribosomal RNA", at positions 711 to 2802 of the family's 2925-position model. The record is from RNAcentral. Lineage: Bacteria; Pseudomonadati; Pseudomonadota; Gammaproteobacteria; Enterobacterales; Enterobacteriaceae.
AGACCCGAAACCCGGUGAUCUAGCCAUGGGCAGGUUGAAGGUUGGGUAACACUAACUGGAGGACCGAACCGACUAAUGUUGAAAAAUUAGCGGAUGACCUGUGGCUGGGGGUGAAAGGCCAAUCAAACCGGGAGAUAGCUGGUUCUCCCCGAAAGCUAUUUAGGUAGCGCCUCGUGAAUUCAUCUCCGGGGGUAGAGCACUGUUUCGGCUAGGGGGCCAUCCCGGCUUACCAACCCGAUGCAAACUGCGAAUACCGGAGAAUGUUAUCACGGGAGACACACGGCGGGUGCUAACGUCCGUCGUGAAGAGGGAAACAACCCAGACCGCCAGCUAAGGUCCCAAAGUCAUGGUUAAGUGGGAAACGAUGUGGGAAGGCCCAGACAGCCAGGAUGUUGGCUUAGAAGCAGCCAUCAUUUAAAGAAAGCGUAAUAGCUCACUGGUCGAGUCGGCCUGCGCGGAAGAUGUAACGGGGCUAAACCAUGCACCGAAGCUGCGGCAGCGACGCUUAUGCGUUGUUGGGUAGGGGAGCGUUCUGUAAGCCUGUGAAGGUGUGUCGUGAGGCAUGCUGGAGGUAUCAGAAGUGCGAAUGCUGACAUAAGUAACGAUAAAGCGGGUGAAAAGCCCGCUCGCCGGAAGACCAAGGGUUCCUGUCCAACGUUAAUCGGGGCAGGGUGAGUCGACCCCUAAGGCGAGGCCGAAAGGCGUAGUCGAUGGGAAACGGGUUAAUAUUCCCGUACUUGGUGUUACUGCGAAGGGGGGACGGAGAAGGCUAUGUUGGCCGGGCGACGGUUGUCCCGGUUUAAGCGUGUAGGUGUGUGUUCCAGGUAAAUCCGGUUCACUUUAACACUGAGGCGUGACGACGAGGCACUACGGUGCUGAAGCAACAAAUGCCCUGCUUCCAGGAAAAGCCUCUAAGCAUCAGGUAACAUCAAAUCGUACCCCAAACCGACACAGGUGGUCAGGUAGAGAAUACCAAGGCGCUUGAGAGAACUCGGGUGAAGGAACUAGGCAAAAUGGUGCCGUAACUUCGGGAGAAGGCACGCUGACAUGUAGGUGAAGUGAUUUACUCAUGGAGCUGAAGUCAGUCGAAGAUACCAGCUGGCUGCAACUGUUUAUUAAAAACACAGCACUGUGCAAACACGAAAGUGGACGUAUACGGUGUGACGCCUGCCCGGUGCCGGAAGGUUAAUUGAUGGGGUCAGCGCAAGCGAAGCUCCUGAUCGAAGCCCCGGUAAACGGCGGCCGUAACUAUAACGGUCCUAAGGUAGCGAAAUUCCUUGUCGGGUAAGUUCCGACCUGCACGAAUGGCGUAAUGAUGGCCAGGCUGUCUCCACCCGAGACUCAGUGAAAUUGAACUCGCUGUGAAGAUGCAGUGUACCCGCGGCAAGACGGAAAGACCCCGUGAACCUUUACUAUAGCUUGACACUGAACAUUGAGCCUUGAUGUGUAGGAUAGGUGGGAGGCUUUGAAGUGUGGACGCCAGUCUGCAUGGAGCCGACCUUGAAAUACCACCCUUUAAUGUUUGAUGUUCUAACGUGGACCCGUUAUCCGGGUUGCGGACAGUGUCUGGUGGGUAGUUUGACUGGGGCGGUCUCCUCCUAAAGAGUAACGGAGGAGCACGAAGGUUGGCUAAUCCUGGUCGGACAUCAGGAGGUUAGUGCAAUGGCAUAAGCCAGCUUGACUGCGAGCGUGACGGCGCGAGCAGGUGCGAAAGCAGGUCAUAGUGAUCCGGUGGUUCUGAAUGGAAGGGCCAUCGCUCAACGGAUAAAAGGUACUCCGGGGAUAACAGGCUGAUACCGCCCAAGAGUUCAUAUCGACGGCGGUGUUUGGCACCUCGAUGUCGGCUCAUCACAUCCUGGGGCUGAAGUAGGUCCCAAGGGUAUGGCUGUUCGCCAUUUAAAGUGGUACGCGAGCUGGGUUUAGAACGUCGUGAGACAGUUCGGUCCCUAUCUGCCGUGGGCGCUGGAGAACUGAGGGGGGCUGCUCCUAGUACGAGAGGACCGGAGUGGACGCAUCACUGGUGUUCGGGUUGUCAUGCCAAUGGCACUGCCCGGUAGCUAAAUGCGGAAGAGAUAAGUGCUGAAAGCAUCUAAGCACGAAACUUGCCCCGA